GUAAAGGUAGUGCCAAGAAAAGCGAUGAUCAUGUUGAAAAUCAAUUCCCGGUACCCGAAACCGACACAGGUGGGCAAGUAGAGAAUACUAAGGGGCGCGAGGUAACUCUCUCCAAGGAACUCGGCAAAAUGACCCCGUAACUUAGGGAGAAGGGGUGCCACCGAGAGGUGGUCGCAGUGAAGAGGCCCAGGCGACUGUUUAGCAAAAACAUAGGUCUCUGCAAACUCGAAAGAGGAGGUAUAGGGGCUGACGCCUGCCCAGUGCCGGAAGGUUAAAGAAGUUGGUCAGUUUUAGGAUGAAGCUAGCGACUGAAGCCCCGGUGAACGGCGGCCGUAACUAUAACGGUCCUAAGGUAGCGAAAUUCCUUGUCGGGUAAGUUCCGACCCGCACGAAAGGCGUAACGAUCUGGGCGCUGUCUCGGAGAGAGGCUCGGCGAAAUAGGAUUGUCUGUGAAGAUACGGACUACCUGCAUUUGGACAGAAAGACCCUAUGAAGCUUUACUAUAGCUUGGAAUUGUGUUCGGGCUUCCUGUGCGCAGGAUAGGUGGGAGGCGUAGAAGGUAUUCUUGUGGGGAUACUGGAGCCAACGGUGAGAUACCACUCUCAGGAGGCUAGAAUUCUAACUUAAUUAAGGACAGUUUCAGGUGGGUAGUUUGACUGGGGCGGUCGCCUCCAAAAAGGUAACGGAGGCGUACAAAGGUUCCCUCAGACUGGUUGGAAAUCAGUCGAAGAGUGCAAAGGCAGAAGGGAGCUUGACUGCGAGAAGUACAGUUCGAGCAGGGUGGAAACACGGUCUUAGUGAUCCGACGGUGCUGUGAGGAAGGGCCGUCGCUCAACGGAUAAAAGUUACUCUAGGAUAACAGGCUGAUCUCCCCCAAGAGUUCACAUCGACGGGGAGGUUUGGCACCUCGAUGUCGGCUCAUCGCAACCUGGGGCGGAAGUACGUCCCAAGGGUUGGGCUGUUCGCCCAUUAAAGCGGUACGUGAGCUGGGUUCAGAACGUCGUGAGACAGUUCGGUCCAUAUCCGAUGUAGGCGUGAGAAUAUUGAGAGGAGCCUUCCUUAGUACGAGAGGACCGGGAAGGACGCACCGCUGGUGUACCUGUUAUGAUGCCAAUUGUAAACGCAGGGUAGCCAAGUGCGGAGAGGAUAACCGCUGAAAGCAUCUAAGUGGGAAGCCCACCUCAAGAUGAGUAUUCUGGUGUAAGGUCACGGGAAGACGACCCGUAAAUAGGCACGAGGUGGAAGUGCAGAGAUGUAUGAAGCCGAAGUGUACUAAUAGACCGUCGGCUUGA
Molecule: ribosomal RNA, 1292 nt
Filed under: metagenome
Description: bacterial LSU rRNA
Rfam family: Bacterial large subunit ribosomal RNA
Source: RNAcentral